This 638-nucleotide ribosomal RNA is filed under the name uncultured bacterium. RNAcentral's name for it is "bacterial SSU rRNA". It matches the Rfam family "Bacterial small subunit ribosomal RNA", at positions 61 to 694 of the family's 1533-position model. The record is from RNAcentral.
GUCGAGCGGUAGAGAGAAGCUUGCUUCUCUUGAGAGCGGCGGACGGGUGAGUAAUGCCUAGGAAUCUGCCUGGUAGUGGGGGAUAACGUUCGGAAACGGACGCUAAUACCGCAUACGUCCUACGGGAGAAAGCAGGGGACCUUCGGGCCUUGCGCUAUCAGAUGAGCCUAGGUCGGAUUAGCUAGUUGGUGGGGUAAUGGCUCACCAAGGCGACGAUCCGUAACUGGUCUGAGAGGAUGAUCAGUCACACUGGAACUGAGACACGGUCCAGACUCCUACGGGAGGCAGCAGUGGGGAAUAUUGGACAAUGGGCGAAAGCCUGAUCCAGCCAUGCCGCGUGUGUGAAGAAGGUCUUCGGAUUGUAAAGCACUUUAAGUUGGGAGGAAGGGCAGUAAAUUAAUACUUUGCUGUUUUGACGUUACCGACAGAAUAAGCACCGGCUAACUCUGUGCCAGCAGCCGCGGUAAUACAGAGGGUGCAAGCGUUAAUCGGAAUUACUGGGCGUAAAGCGCGCGUAGGUGGUUAGUUAAGUUGGAUGUGAAAUCCCCGGGCUCAACCUGGGAACCGCAUUCAAAACUGACUGACUAGAGUAUGGUAGAGGGUGGUGGAAUUUCCUGUGUAGCGGUGAAAUGCGUAGA